Molecule: ribosomal RNA, 465 nt
Filed under: uncultured bacterium
Lineage: Bacteria
Description: partial 16S ribosomal RNA
Rfam family: Bacterial small subunit ribosomal RNA
Source: RNAcentral
GACGAACGCUGGCGGCGUGCUUAACACAUGCAAGUCGAACGGAAAGGCCCCUUUGGGGGUACUCGAGUGGCGAACGGGUGAGUAACACGUGAGUAACCUGCCCUUGACUUCGGGAUAACUUCAGGAAACUGGGGCUAAUACCGGAUAGGAAUCCUUGCUGCAUGGUGGGGGUUGGAAAGCUUCGGCGGUUUUGGAUGGACUCGCGGCUUAUCAGCUUGUUGGUGGGGUAGUGGCUUACCAAGGCUUUGACGGGUAGCCGGCCUGAGAGGGCGACCGGCCACAUUGGGACUGAGAUACGGCCCAGACUCCUACGGGAGGCAGCAGUGGGGAAUGUUGCACAAUGGGCGGAAGCCUGAUGCAGCAACGCCGCGUGCGGGAUGACGGCCUUCGGGUUGUAAACCGCUUUCAGCAGGGGCGAAGCUUGUGGUGACGGUACCUGCAGAAGAAGCACCGGCUAACUACGUG